CCUACGGGCGGCUGCAGUAGGGAAUCUUUCACAAUGGGCGAAAGCCUGAUGGAGCAACGCCGCGUGCAGGAUGAAGGCCUUCGGGUUGUAAACUGCUUUUAUAAGCGAGAAAUAUGAUGGUAACUUAUGAAUAGGAAUGGCCAACUACGUGCCAGCCGCCGCGGUCAUACGUAGGAUCCGAGCAUUAUCCGGAGUGACCGGGUGUAAAGAGUUGCGUAGGUGGCAUAAUUAGUAGCUAGUGAAAUCUGGUGGCUCAACCAUUCAGACUAUUAGCUAAACUGGUAAGCUCGAGACCGUUAGGGGUAACUGGAAUUUCUAGUGUAGGAGUGAAAUCCGUAGAUAUUAGAAGGAACACCAAUAGCGUAGGCAGGUUGCUGGGACGGUUCUGACACUAAGGCACGAAAGCGUAGGGAGCAAACGGGAUUAGAUACCCUUGUAGUC
RNAcentral lists this ribosomal RNA (441 nucleotides) under uncultured bacterium. RNAcentral describes it as "partial 16S ribosomal RNA". It matches the Rfam family "Bacterial small subunit ribosomal RNA", at positions 338 to 795 of the family's 1533-position model. The record is from RNAcentral.